This 484-nucleotide ribosomal RNA is filed under the name uncultured bacterium. RNAcentral describes it as "partial 16S ribosomal RNA". It matches the Rfam family "Bacterial small subunit ribosomal RNA", at positions 30 to 507 of the family's 1533-position model. The record is from RNAcentral.
AUUGAACGCUGGCGGCAGGCCUAACACAUGCAAGUCGAGCGGAUGAAGGGAGCUUGCUCCUGGAUUCAGCGGCGGACGGGUGAGUAAUGCCUAGGAAUCUGCCUGGUAGUGGGGGAUAACGUCCUGAAACGGGCGCUAAUACCGCAUACGUCCUGAUGGAGAAAGAGGGGGAUCUUCGGACCUCACGCUAUCAGAUGAGCCUAGGUCGGAUUAGCUAGUUGGUGGGGUAAAGGCCUACCAAGGCGACGAUCCGUAACUGGUCUGAGAGGAUGAUCAGUCACACUGGAACUGAGACACGGUCCAGACUCCUACGGGAGGCAGCAGUGGGGAAUAUUAGACAAUGGGCGAAAGCCUGAUCCAGCCAUGCCGCGUGUGUGAAGAAGGUCUUCGGAUUGUAAAGCACUUUAAGUUGGGGGGAAGGGCAGUAAGUUAAUACCUUGCGGUUUUGACGUUACCAACAGAAUAAGCACCGGCUAACUUCGUG